Molecule: long non-coding RNA, 1841 nt
Filed under: Theobroma cacao (cacao)
Lineage: Eukaryota; Viridiplantae; Streptophyta; Magnoliopsida; Malvales; Malvaceae
Description: long non-coding RNA (TCAC_LNC001666)
Source: RNAcentral
UUUAAAAGGCACAAAAAUCAGCUCAUCUUCCACCCCAUGGCCGGCCAAACCAGCAAGAAGAGAGAGAAAAUAAAAGCAAAACCCUAGAGAGAGAAAAUCAAAGAAAAAGUGUGAAUUUUCAAAGAAAUUAAGUGAAAAAGGUGAGAUUUUUUCUAUUAAGCUUGAGUUUUCUUAUUCCCAAGCAUUUCUCUUUAUUUUCCAUGAUUAAAUUACAUGUUUUCAGGAUGAAUUCAAUUCGAAAAAAUGGGUUAGGAGAGAGAAAGUUGUUUGGAUUUAUUUGAUUUUAAUUUAUGUUAGUGUUUUUAGUUAGUUUAGCAUAUUUAGAAACAAAACAACAAGAAAAGAAUUUAUUUUCUCCCCCAACCAUUAAUGGCUGAAUUUACCAUGUAGUGAGUGAGGAUGAGUUUGAUUUUAUUCUAGGAGAAUUGGUUAAGGAAUAAUGAAUUAUGAGCCUAGAAAAAUAAUGGGAAUUUUCGGAGCAAAAAUACGAAUUUUUACCCACUAGGGGUAUUUUCGUAAUUUGCUGUUGGGACUGAUAAUUUGCACCACACUGAGGGACAUUAAGUUAAUUUGGGUGCAAUUGAGGUAUAGAAACUGAAAAGAAUUAAAUUGGAGUUUAAACGGACCCGUUAGGAAUUUAAUCGGGUGAUAAGACGAAUUAGGCCAAUACCGGGUUUAGAUAGUUACCAGUGCAUUUUUGCAUUCCAUAUCAUGCAUUGGUAGUCUAAAUUAGUUUAAUUUUGAUUUAGUACCAACUUGGUGAAACUCUCGAUUUUGUACUGUGUCAAGGUGGUGAGUCCUCCGAUAAAGGCAAGGAAAUUGCAUCCGAGGACCAGUAGACAGAGUGCUUCGAAAGUCUGCAUUCUAGACAUUGUGAGUAAACUUACUGUCAUUUUAAUUAUCUAGGGUGGUUUUUAGAUGCUUUCAUGAAUUCUAUGGAAAAAGGAAUUUAAAAAGAUAAAUUUUCAUGUUUUAUGAAUAAAUGAGUUUCAAUGAAAUUAAAUUAUAAAUUGUUUUGAAAUUAAUAGUGAUUUUGAAAAAUAGAGUACACGGAGACUGUUAAUUGUGGCAAUUUGAUUGUUUAAAUUAACUGGCUUAUGAUAAAUCGAGCAUGAUUGGCUAGUUGGCAAUUGUAUUGAAAUGCGAAUUGUUUGGUUACCUUGAAAAACUACGAAUUACAAAAUUGCCAUAUCAUGUUAUUGAGUUUUAUUAUAUGGUGGAUUAUAUAUUAAUUAAUCACUGCAGUAGGGGGUUUCUGUGGACCAGCCUUUUAGAGGGGCACGGUAAACCCCAUUAUAUUCUUACCUCGAACGGAGAGGCGCGUAGGGUAUCUCCUGGGGUAAAGUUUAGGGUUCACUUCACGCUAAACCACCACGUGAGGGGGAACUCAGCCAACGCCAAGGAACGGCUAUGUUUUCAAAACAAAAACAUGAUUUAUGUGAAAUGUGAAUUUUAAUAGCCUUGGCGGUCUCGGUAGGAUGCCUCGGCCAAGGUGUCCCCGAGAAUGGAUUUAUGGCACAAGCCUAGAUUUUUAUGAGAUUCAUAAGCCUCUUUACGUGUUUUGAACAAAAUGUGUUCUAAUGCUAUAACCCAGUUUAUGAUGAUUUACUUUAUUGUCUCCAUGUACUCAACUCUAGAUGUUUAUGAUGAUGUUUGUUUACUCAUUGGGAUUUUAUAAUCUCACCACCCUCCUUUCCACCCAUUUCAGGUUCAGUAUAGACUGUAGAUAGCUGAUCUCAUCGAGGACUACAGUGGGAUCUGCAUUUUCCAAACCGUAGGUUCACAGUCCUCUUUACUUUUGUUUAUUCGGGGGCACUCUUGUUAUUGUAAAUUAAAUUAAA